ACUGGAGCCGUUUCGUUCCAUCAACUGCGGUAUAUGACACGUCCGAGCGAUAAUCGCUCGUAUCGGACGUAAGAGCCUAAGCAUUAUCGUUUACUCCCUCUGUUAAAAUCAGCGUCGAUAGAUGAGGCCCAUGCCGAGCUCUUUGCCUCCGGUUCCAUCUCCCCGAGCUCGAUCCUAUCCUCCUCCCCCAACCUCUGCGCCUUCCAUCAUUCGCCUGCCCGCAUCUUCGUCUGCCCGCCCACACACACGCAUGGCCACUUGGCCACCCGCCCCCAUCGCAUGCACGCAUCGUCCACAUGGGCACUCACAAAAUAUCGAGCGGUCGCACUCCUCUGGCCUGAUCUCAACGCCGCCCCAUCAGGCUCCUCCCCUUGCUCAUAUCCAUAUCGUCGAUCUGGGAGGUGAGGCGUUGAGACACUCAGUUCGGAAGGGAAUGGCUUCGAUUCAGGCAAGGGGGCUUUAUUUUGAUGAUGAGGAGUUCGAUUCGCAUCGCGAUGCGCUCAAUCCGGGAGAGGAUGGCAGCAGUUCGAGCGUGGGGGAUUGAUUUUGACGAUGAAGAGUUUGGUCUGUGACACGAAUUGAUCGAUCGGAUGUGAAGGCGUCGAUUCGAUGGGGGAUCCAUCUAUGCCUGAACCUUGAUCCUGGACGCCGCCAGACCCCUGUCAAGUCGGAAGAGAUAAUGCAGGUUGCUGCUAAAAAGAGGUUGAUUGAGGUCGAUUAUGGAGAGUUUUCCACUGAUGAAAAGAAAUAAAAUGAAAGGUUUUGGUUACCGAUUACAACGAUUGGAUACGGUUGGCCAGCACUGCACUCCUAGCUGUUCAAGUGAUGUUCUUUUGUAUGUAUCAAAAAAAAAUAAAGUUCUUUCUUUUGUUUUUUCUUAGGUUUUGGUUGCUGAUUACAACGAUUGGAUACAGUUAGCCAGCACUGCACUCCUGGCUGUUGUUUAUUGUUUUCGUGAUGUUCUUUUGUAGGUAUCAAAUUAUGAUUAAGUUGUAAUUUGUGUUUUUUUAACGUAC
Phragmites australis (common reed) is the source of this 1016-nucleotide long non-coding RNA. RefSeq lists it as uncharacterized. NCBI's taxonomy places the organism in Eukaryota, Viridiplantae, Streptophyta, Magnoliopsida, Poales, Poaceae. The record is from RefSeq and is a predicted model, not a curated record. The transcript is spliced from 3 exons.